AUUAUGUUAGUUUAAAUAAAAUUUCAUUUUGUGAAGAUGAAGAUUCUACAUAGAAUAUAAUA
RNAcentral lists this transfer RNA (62 nucleotides) under Epeurysa nawaii. RNAcentral's name for it is "tRNA-His". Lineage: Eukaryota; Metazoa; Arthropoda; Insecta; Hemiptera; Delphacidae. The record is from RNAcentral.